AGCGCAGACGGUUGAUUAAGCCUGAUGUGAAAGCCCGGAGCUCAACUCCGGAAUGGCAUUGGAAACUGGUUAACUUGAGUGCAGUAGAGGUAAGUGGAACUCCAUGUGUAGCGGUGGAAUGCGUAGAUAUAUGGAAGAACACCAGUGGCGAAGGCGGCUUACUGGACGGUAACUGACGUUGAGGCUCGAAAGCGUGGGAGGCAAACA
This 207-nucleotide ribosomal RNA is filed under the name uncultured bacterium. RNAcentral describes it as "partial 16S ribosomal RNA". It matches the Rfam family "Bacterial small subunit ribosomal RNA", at positions 568 to 774 of the family's 1533-position model. The record is from RNAcentral.